Molecule: ribosomal RNA, 407 nt
Filed under: uncultured bacterium
Lineage: Bacteria
Description: partial 16S ribosomal RNA
Rfam family: Bacterial small subunit ribosomal RNA
Source: RNAcentral
AUUGAACGCUGGCGGCAGGCCUAACACAUGCAAGUCGAGCGGAGCUGCGGACGGGUGCGUAAUGCCUAGGAAUCUGCCUGGUAGUGGGGGAUAACGCACGGGAACGGGCCCUAAUACCGCAUACUAUCAGAUGACCCUAGGUGGGAUUUGCUAGUUGGUGGGGUAAAGGCCUAACAAGGCGACGAUCCGUAACUGGUCUGAGGGGAGGAUCCGUCAAAUUGGAACUGAGACACGGUCCAGACUCCGACGGGAGGCAGCAGUGGGGAAUAUUGGACAAUGGGCGAAAGCCUGAACCAGCCAUGCCGCGUGAGUGAAGAAGGUCUUCGGAUUGUAAAGCGCUUUUAGUUGGGAGGCGGUACCAACAGAAUAAGCACCGGCUAACUUCGUGCCAGCAGCCGCGGUAAUAC